CUUUUUCGGAAGGUAUGCUUAAAGAGGGGCUUGCGUCACAUUAGUUAGUUGGUAAGGUAAUGGCUUACCAAGACAAUGAUGUGUAGCUGGACUGAGAGGUUGAUCAGCCACAUUGGGACUGAGACACGGCCCAAACUCCUACGGGAGGCAGCAGUAGGGAAUUUUCGGCAAUGGAGGAAACUCUGACCGAGCAACGCCGCGUGAACGAUGAAGUAUUUCGAUAUGUAAAGUUCUUUUAUUGAAGAAGAAAACCUAGUGGAAAAACUAGCUUGACGUUAUUCAAUGAAUAAGCCCCGGCUAACUAUGUGCCAGCAGCCGCGGUAAUACAUAGGGGGCGAGCGUUAUCCGGAAUUAUUGGGCGUAAAGGGUGCGUAGGCGGUUUAAUAAGUCUUUAGUUUAAUGGCAGUGCUUAACGCUGUCCUGCUAAAGAAACUGUUUGACUAGAGUGAGAUAGAGGCAAGCGGAAUUCCAUGUGUAGCGGUAAAAUGUGUAAAUAUAUGGAGGAACACCAGAGGCGUAGGCGGCUUGCUGGGUCUUUACUGACGCUGAGGCACGAAAGCGUGGGGAGCAAACAGGAUUAGAUACCCUGGUAGUCCACGCCGUAAACGAUGAGUACUAAGUGUCGGGGUUAAACUCGGUACUGAAGUUAACACAUUAAGUACUCCGCCUGAGUAGUACGUACGCAAGUAUGAAACUUAAAGGAAUUGACGGGAUCCCGCACAAGCGGUGGAUCAUGUUGUUUAAUUCGAAGAUACACGAAAAACCUUACCAGGUCUUGACAUACUCUGCAAAGCUAUAGAAAUAUAGUGGAGGUUAUCAGGGAUACAGGUGGUGCAUGGUUGUCGUCAGCUCGUGUCGUGAGAUGUUAGGUUAAGUCCUAAAACGAGCGCAACCCUUGUCGUUAGUUGCCAGCAUGUUAUGAUGGGGACUUUAGCGAGACUGCCAAUGAAAAAAUUGGAGGAAGGUGGGGAUUACGUCAAAUCAUCAUGCCCCUUAUGAUCUGGGCUACAAACGUGAUACAAUGGCUCUUACAAAGAGUAGCUGAAACGUGAGUUUUUAGCCAAUCUCAAAAAAAGAGUCUCAGUUCGGAUUGAAGUCUGCAACUCGACUUCAUGA
Molecule: unclassified non-coding RNA, 1116 nt
Filed under: 'Reinhardtia gracilis' phytoplasma
Lineage: Bacteria; Bacillati; Mycoplasmatota; Mollicutes; Acholeplasmatales; Acholeplasmataceae
Description: bacterial SSU rRNA
Rfam family: Bacterial small subunit ribosomal RNA
Source: RNAcentral